This 492-nucleotide ribosomal RNA is filed under the name uncultured bacterium. Its description in RNAcentral is "partial 16S ribosomal RNA". It matches the Rfam family "Bacterial small subunit ribosomal RNA", at positions 29 to 507 of the family's 1533-position model. The record is from RNAcentral.
AGUGAACGCUGGCGGUAGGCCUAACACAUGCGAGUCGAACGGCAGCACAGUAAGAGCUUGCUCUUACGGGUGGCGAGUGGCGGACGGGUGAGGAAUACAUCGGAAUCUACUUUUUCGUGGGGGAUAACGUAGGGAAACUUACGCUAAUACCGCAUACGACCUACGGGUGAAAGCAGGGGAUCUUCGGACCUUGCGCGAUUGAAUGAGCCGAUGUCGGAUUAGCUAGUUGGCGGGGUAAAGGCCCACCAAGGCGACGAUCCGUAGCUGGUCUGAGAGGAUGAUCAGCCACACUGGAACUGAGACACGGUCCAGACUCCUACGGGAGGCAGCAGUGGGGAAUAUUAGACAGUGGGCGCAAGCCUGAUCCAGCCAUACCGCGUGGGUGAAGAAGGCCUUCGGGUUGGAAAGCCCUUUUGUUGGGAAAGAAAAGCAGCAGGUUAAUACCCCGCUGUUCUGACGGUACCCAAAGAAUAAGCACCGGCUAACUUCGUG